UGAGUACGAGCGGCUACGGCCGCGAAGUGGAUGAUGUCAAGCUUCCAAGAAAAGCCCUAUACCCGUUAAGGCAUGAUGGCCUGUACCCGAAACCGACACAGGUGGGGUGGUAGAGAAUACCGAGGGGCGCGAGGUAACUCUCUCUAAGGAACUCGGCAAAAUGGCCCCGUAACUUCGGGAGAAGGGGUGCCACCGCGAGGUGGUCGCAGUGAAGAGGCCCAGGCGACUGUUCACCAAAAACACAGGUCUCCGCUAAGUCGCAAGACGAUGUAUGGGGGCUGACGCCUGCCCAGUGCCGGAAGGUUAAGGAAGCUGGUCAGCGCAAGCGAAGCUGGCGACUGAAGCCCCGGUGAACGGCGGCCGUAACCAUAACGGUCCUAAGGUAGCGAAAUUCCUUGUCGGGUAAGUUCCGACCCGCACGUAAGGCGUAACGAUCUGGGCGCUGUCUCGGAGAGAGGCUCGGCGAAAUAGAAUUGUCUGUGAAGAUGCGGACUACGUGCACCCGGACAGAAAGACCCUAUGAAGCUUUACUGUAGCUUGGUAUUGUGCUCGGGCUCGGAAUGCGCAGGAUAGGUGGGAGGCUUUGAUCCAUUGCUUGCGGGUGAUGGUGAGCCACUGGUGAGAUACCACUCUUUCCGAGCUAGAGUUCUAACAGCAACCCGUUAUCCGGGUGCUGGACAGUAUCAGGUGGGCAGUUUGACUGGGGCGGUCGCCUCCUAAAAGGUAACGGAGGCGCGCAAAGGUCUGCUCAGGCUGGUUGGAAAUCAGCCGACGAGUGUAAAAGCAGAAGCAGGCUUGACUGUGAGACCUACAAGUCGAACAGGGAGGAAACUCGGCUUUAGUGAUCCGACGGUUCUGCGUGGAAGGGCCGUCGCUCAACGGAUAAAAGUUACUCUAAGGAUAACAGGCUGAUCUCCCCCAAGAGUUCACAUCGACGGGGAGGUUUGGCACCUCGAUUUCGGCUCAUCGCAACCUGGGGCUGAAGUCGGUCCCAAGGGUUGGGCUGUUCGCCCAUUAAAGCGGUACGCGAGCUGGGUUCAGAACGUCGUGAGACAGUUCGGUCCAUAUCCGGUGCACGCGCAGGAAUAUUGAGAGGAUUUCUCCCUAGUACGAGAGGACCGGGAGGAACGCACCUCUGGUGUGCCAGUUAUCGUGCCAACGGUAAACGCUGGGUAGCCAUGUGCGGAGUGGAUAACCGCUGAAAGCAUCUAAGUGGGAAGCCCACCUCAAGAUGAGUAUUCCCAUGGCAUAAGCCAGUAAGGUCACGGGAAGAACACCCGUUGAUAGGCUCUACGUGGAAGCGCAGUAAUGUGUGAAGCGGAGGAGUACUAAUAGACCGAGGGCUUGACC
This 1350-nucleotide ribosomal RNA is filed under the name metagenome. RNAcentral describes it as "bacterial LSU rRNA". It matches the Rfam family "Bacterial large subunit ribosomal RNA", at positions 1564 to 2925 of the family's 2925-position model. The record is from RNAcentral.